GGGGUAUCUGAGUUCGCUCUAUACCCUUUGUGACAUACCUAUAACUGUUGCUUCGGCGGGUAGGGUCUCCGUGACCCUCCCGGCCUCCCGCCCCCGGGCGGGUCGGCGCCCGCCGGAGGAUAACCAAACUCUGAUUUAACGACGUUUCUUCUGAGUGGUACAAGCAAAUAAUCAAAACUUUUAACAACGGAUCUCUUGGUUCUGGCAUCGAUGAAGAACGCAGCGAAAUGCGAUAAGUAAUGUGAAUUGCAGAAUUCAGUGAAUCAUCGAAUCUUUGAACGCACAUUGCGCCCGCCAGCAUUCUGGCGGGCAUGCCUGUUCGAGCGUCAUUUCAACCCUCAAGCUCUGCUUGGUGUUGGGGCCCUACAGCUGAUGUAGGCCCUCAAAGGUAGUGGCGGACCCUCCCGGAGCCUCCUUUGCGUAGUAACUUUACGUCUCGCACUGGGAUCCGGAGGGACUCUUGCCGUAAAACCCCCAAUUUUCCAAAGGUUGACCUCGGAUCAGGUAGGAAUACCCGCUGAACUUAAGCAUAUCAAUAAGCGGAGGA
This 547-nucleotide ribosomal RNA is filed under the name Colletotrichum gloeosporioides. Its description in RNAcentral is "eukaryotic LSU rRNA". The stretch from base 176 to 329 matches the Rfam family "5.8S ribosomal RNA". The record is from RNAcentral. Lineage: Eukaryota; Fungi; Ascomycota; Sordariomycetes; Glomerellales; Glomerellaceae.